RNAcentral lists this transfer RNA (76 nucleotides) under Streptomyces sp. C. Its description in RNAcentral is "tRNA-Thr". It matches the Rfam family "tRNA". From Rfam's summary of the family: Transfer RNA (tRNA) molecules are approximately 80 nucleotides in length. Their secondary structure includes four short double-helical elements and three loops (D, anti-codon, and T loops). The record is from RNAcentral. Lineage: Bacteria; Bacillati; Actinomycetota; Actinomycetes; Kitasatosporales; Streptomycetaceae. RNAcentral also lists the same sequence under 1 other name.
GCCGCCUUAGCUCAGUUGGUAGAGCGCCGGCUUUGUAACCCGAAGGUCAUCGGUUCGAUUCCGAUAGGCGGCUCCA